GAUGAACGCUGACAGAAUGCUUAACACAUGCAAGUCAACUGUGGCGGACGGGUGAGUAACGCGUAAAGAACUUGCCUCACAGAUAGGGACAACAUUUGGAAACGAAUGCUAAUACCUGAUACUGUGUGAGAGCUUUGCGUCCCAUUAGCUAGUUGGAGAGGUAACGGCUCACCAAGGCGAUGAUGGGUAGCCGGCCUGCGAGGGUGAUCGGCCACAAGGGGACUGAGCAACUGACCUUACUCCUACGGGAGGCAGCAGUGGGGAAUAUUGAACAAUGUACCAAAGUCUGAUCCAGCAAUUCUGUGUGCACGAUGAAGUUUUCGGAAUGUAAAGUGCUUUCAGUUGGGAAGCAGUACCAACAGAAGAAGUGACGGCUAAAUACGUGCCAGCAGCCGCGGUAAUUC
This 404-nucleotide ribosomal RNA is filed under the name uncultured bacterium. RNAcentral's name for it is "partial 16S ribosomal RNA". It matches the Rfam family "Bacterial small subunit ribosomal RNA", at positions 28 to 526 of the family's 1533-position model. The record is from RNAcentral.